CCGAUACCAAAGUGCGGGACACACGUCCUCGUACAGACACUGUGCGCUACCCGGCGCGAUCGACGUCGUCGGUCGACGCAGUCACUUGUUACCGUGAUUCGAAGAAGAAUACCCGUUGACGCUUCGGGGUACCUGUCGCACGUCGGCCGUCUUCGCGUGCGGUGAGCAGGCCGCGGGCUUCGGUCCGCGGUCGGCGAAGGUCCAACGAACCGUCCGCGCGUGCGUUCGCGCGCGCGCGUUCGGUCGCCCCGUCGYAUUCUCUGUCAGUCAGUCAGUUAACACGUACGGUCGCAUCUGUUACCAUGUCAGGACARCGAGAGUYACACAGAC
RNAcentral lists this unclassified non-coding RNA (330 nucleotides) under Limnodrilus hoffmeisteri complex sp. II. Its description in RNAcentral is "partial internal transcribed sapcer 1". Lineage: Eukaryota; Metazoa; Annelida; Clitellata; Tubificida; Naididae. The record is from RNAcentral.